Molecule: small nucleolar RNA, 115 nt
Filed under: Carlito syrichta (Philippine tarsier)
Lineage: Eukaryota; Metazoa; Chordata; Mammalia; Primates; Tarsiidae
Description: Small nucleolar RNA SNORA25 (ENSTSYG00000024502.2)
Source: RNAcentral
AGGUAACUUGAAAGCAGGCUUGUGGAACUCUUAACACUAUCUAUGACUGAAGACUGAAGUUCUUCAUGGUUUACUAUGUCAUCUAUUAGUGCUAUUUUCCCGAGGAGAUAUAAGA